RNAcentral lists this ribosomal RNA (459 nucleotides) under uncultured bacterium. RNAcentral's name for it is "partial 16S ribosomal RNA". It matches the Rfam family "Bacterial small subunit ribosomal RNA", at positions 29 to 507 of the family's 1533-position model. The record is from RNAcentral.
AGCGAACGCUGGCGGCAGGCCUAACACAUGCAAGUCGAACGAACCUUUCGGGGUUAGUGGCGGACGGGUGAGUAACACGUGGGAACGUGCCUUUAUGUUCGGAAUAACUCAGGGAAACUUGUGCUAAUACCGAAUGUGCCCUUCGGGGGAAAGAUUAAUCGCCUUUAGAGCGGCCCGCGUCUGAUUAGCUCAUUGGUUGAGGUAAUGGCUCACCAAGGCAACGAUCAAUAGCUGGUCUGAGAGGAUGAUCAGCCACAUUGGGACUGAGACAGGGCCCAGACGCCGACGGGAGGCAGCAGUAGGGAAGCUUCCGAAAUGGGCGAAAGCCGGACGGGGCAACGCCGCGUGAGGGAUGAAGGUCUUCGGAUCGUAAAACUCGGUUAGGAGGGAAGAACAGAUGUGUAAGUAACUGUGCACAUCUUGACGGUACCUAAUCAGAAAGACACGGCUAACUACGGG